AUUGAACGCUGGCGGCAGGCCUAACACAUGCAAGUCGAGCGGAUGAAGGGAGCUUGCUCCUGGAUUCAGCGGCGGACGGGUGAGUAAUGCCUAGGAAUCUGCCUGGUAGUUGGGGAUAACGUCCGGAAACGGGCGCUAAUACCGCAUACGUCCUGAGGGAGAAAGUGGGGGAUCUUCGGACCUCACGCUAUCAGAUGAGCCUAUGUCGGAUUAGCUAGUUGGUGGGGUAAAGGCCUACCAAGGCGACGAUCCGUAACUGGUCUGAGAGGAUGAUCAGUCACACUGGAACUGAGACACGGUCCAGACUCCUACGGGAGGCAGCAGUGGGGAAUAUUGGACAAUGGGCGAAAGCCUGAUCCAGCCAUGCCGCGUGUGUGAAGAAGGUCUUCGGAUUGUAAAGCACUUUAAGUUGGGAGGAAGGGCAGUAAGUUAAUACCUUGCUGUUUUGACGUUACCAACAGAAUAAGCACCGGCUAACUUCGUG
RNAcentral lists this ribosomal RNA (484 nucleotides) under uncultured bacterium. RNAcentral's name for it is "partial 16S ribosomal RNA". It matches the Rfam family "Bacterial small subunit ribosomal RNA", at positions 30 to 507 of the family's 1533-position model. The record is from RNAcentral.